GUGGAUUUGAAUAUAGGUUAAUAGAAAUGUCCCAAAAUGAAAUGCAAAGAAAAACCAUAGGAAGAAACAACAGAACGUCCAAAAACUAGGAUCAUUUCAAAAGAUACAGUGUACAUGUAUAUGGAAAAAAUGUACAUUUGAAGAGGAAAAAAUAUAUAUUUGAAUUAAUGACUGAGACCUUUGACACCAAAUCACAGAUCGGGGAAGCUGAGAGAACACCAGGCAUAAUAAAUUUUUUUAAAAAAUAACAUCUAGGGGGCUGGGGUUGUGGCUUUUUAUCAAGAGAAGAACUUAUCUUUUAUCAAGAGGAGAACUGAGACAGAGUUUACUUUGUCCAAUGUCACACAACCAGGAAAAAGUGAAACUAGAAUUCUCACCAUUAUCUUUGUGAUCCUAAAACCUGUGCCUGUGUGAUGGAUACUGCUGCCAUUUGGAUUGCAAAGUUUGGCCAAAGCCCAUGCCAGAACAUUCACCCCAAUAUGUGGUGCUUGGGGACUCUGGUGUGCCAGGGUCUCUGACUUGCUGGAUAUCAGUGUCCCAAGUGCUCGCACAGUUGCCUUGAUUCCAGCAUUUUUGAGGAGGCCAAUAUGAGCAAAGACUCAUUAGCAUCAGCCAAAGGAAAAUUUAAAAUUUUAGAAUUUGGUUACAAAACUGGGAUGGCCAUCCUUGUUCAGCAGAGGUAAACACUGCAGCUUUGUCAUUACUUAGCUUUCUCAGUACAUUUCCUUUCCUUUCUAGCUAGAUUACUUUAAUCCAGUUGUUUUCAUGUUCAGUAAAUCCAAACCAUGUUUAACCGGUUUAUUCAUUGGGGUGUCUCUGAGGUGAAGAAAGUUUUGUCCUUUCAACUACACUGGGGAUUUGCUGUCUUCAUUCUGCAAUGGGAUUUUCCUGGACCUGUAAUCUGAACACUUUGACCUGUGGGAUUUUUUUUCCCCCCUCUAGGAGCAAAUGUGAGACUUGACCCUUUGUGUGCUGUGGAGCAGAAACAAUACCCUUCUUCUCCCCUUGAGGACAGUAGUAAUUGAUGGCAGGAAUGUUAAUCAUUUGGCUGUGGCUUCUUCUCAGCCUUGCUGUAGCCAACUCCCUGCUUGCCUAUGCUACCUCAUUGAAAACAGACCUAUCAUUUUGUGACAGCAUUCUUGAGGUUUUGCUCAAGAGAGUUGACAGUCUGACAAACUGAAGAGUGAGUUGGUCUCAGUAGUCUUCAAUUGGUGAAACCAUUGGUCCUUGUAGACAUUACUGGGAGGAUAAAUUGGUACAACCUCCAUGGGGCUGGGGUGGGGGGCAAUUUGGCAGUAAUUAUCAAAGCUAUAAGCUGAGGGUUGGGGUUGUAGUCAGUAGGAGAGCACUUGUCUAGCACCUGUGAGACACUGGGUUCAAAUCUCAGCACCACAUAAAAAUAAAUAAAUGUGUUGUGUCC
Molecule: long non-coding RNA, 1420 nt
Filed under: Marmota monax (woodchuck)
Lineage: Eukaryota; Metazoa; Chordata; Mammalia; Rodentia; Sciuridae
Source: RNAcentral